Molecule: ribosomal RNA, 253 nt
Filed under: uncultured bacterium
Lineage: Bacteria
Description: partial 16S ribosomal RNA
Rfam family: Bacterial small subunit ribosomal RNA
Source: RNAcentral
UACGAAGGGUGCUAGCGUUGUUCGGAAUCACUGGGCGUAAAGCGUGCGUAGGCGGCUAUGCAAGUCAGAGGUGAAAUCCCCAGGCUCAACCUGGGAACUGCCUUUGAAACUGCAUAGCUGGAGUACUGGAGGGGUUGGCGGAAUUCCUAAUGUAGCGGUGAAAUGCGUAGAUAUUAGGAGGAACACCAGCGGCGAAGGCGGCCAACUGGACAGUAACUGACGCUGAGGCACGAAAGCGUGGGGAUCAAACAGG